Molecule: non-coding RNA, 304 nt
Organism: Salvelinus sp. IW2-2015
Lineage: Eukaryota; Metazoa; Chordata; Actinopteri; Salmoniformes; Salmonidae
Source: RefSeq, a predicted model, not a curated record
CGCAAUGCCCGUUAUUGUGUUACCUAGCAAUAAAACCUAAACAAACCUGUGUAAUUUCCUCUACAUUUUGUGUGGUUAGUUCAGAGAUGUAUUCGAAAUGUUGUAGCUAACUAGCUAAGUGCUAAGCUAACUUGAGUGGGUAAAGUCGUUUUGUCAUUUUCACCCUAACCAGGUUGAAAAAAGGAAACCACACCAUCCUUCACAUUAAUGUGGCAGAUUCAAUGGAGGCUGAUCUGUACUCCAGUUUUGAGAGGAUACGUGUUUUCAUUGCUGUCCCGGUGGCUGGUCCCAGAUGAUCCUGCAG